CAGCCUGCCACAAAGAGCCGUCUAUUAGGCCCCUGUGGUGUGUGUGCAGCAAACCCACAGAUUCAGCAGUCGCUCAGGAUGAGGCACCAGCCCAGAACCGAAUUCAUGCAAUUUGAACACUGACCUAUGAUUAUUCUCAGCGAAUGGUGGCAAAAAGCAGCCCAAGGUUCCAAGGUUUGAUUACAAAAAGAGCAUAACGUUACAUGAGUGCAUGGCAGUAACUAUAAAAGUCCCAAACUGCUACAGCUAAGGCAUUUUCUCUCCAAGCUACACGCUUUAGGCAGUGAGGAGGCAUGGGCUGUCUCCGAAAGGAUGAAAUCCUCUCCUCCAUGGGGCGAGAGGGAGAGGGAGAGGUGCUCGUGGCUGCCGUGCAGCCGCCUUUCUCUCCAUCCAGCCACACCUAGCACACGCGCUGGCAGCUCAGCUCGUUCAAUCAGCAAGAUAAAUCAUCAGCCUUAAUGCUUUUGAAGUGUGUCCCAGGCAAACCACCUCGUGAAGAACCUGCACCCGCUCUCUGCUAAGCUCCCAGUGCCGCUCAAUGGGACCUCCAGGAGCUGGUGCACAGCCGACGCUCGUGGUGGAGGCUCAGCUUUUCAAAGCCCUUUGUUCAGCUGCCUUUCAGCAACCGCUAAGCAAUUUGUGUUUGCACCCUGCUAUUUGUUAAAGCUGGUUCAGGAAGGAAAAGGAUUCAGUGCCUGUUUCAGAUCAAUCCCCUUAGAAAUGGUCACUUAGCCCGAGAUGAAAAUGAAGGAUUCUCAGUUCUGGGAGGGCACAGCUCAAGUCUGAGCAAUCCCUUCGAAAUAUCCCUGCGAGGUGAUGAAAGAAUGGGAGUUUUUCUGAGCAGAGGGGGAUUACCAGUGCAGUCAGCAUCUCUGCUUUGUGGAAGCUGUUUGAGUCUGCGAUGAGAGGCCGAGCACAGACAGCAAGAUGUGGAGCUCCCAGUGCAACAUGACAGUGUCUGGAAAACAUGCAAGAGGAGGCCAUAAAAUGCCAGAACCAGCCUGCUACAGUCCUCUGCUGCACCACUCACACCUCCCACUCUUCCAUGCCUACAGCCACCUCGCUUCCUUCUUCUGGGAAGGGGCUAAUGUUGCAGCCAGCCGUUCUGACUACUUUACAACUCCUGACAAGAUUUAGAUCGUUCCCUGCUUUACCUCCGUGAUGAUGCAGCAGGCUGUGCCAAGAGGAAAUCUUCAAAAGACUUUGUGUAAUGUCAUAGCUAAAGUGCUGCAACCCGCCAGAUCUGGGCUCAGGAUCUCCUCCAUGAGCUCUGCCGUGUGAGCAGCCCUGGUUAUUCCUCCCUUCUGCUGGCUGCCCAGGGAACCCUUCCACCCUUUUUCCAUGUUGCUUAAAUAAAUGGUGCUUAAAUAAAUGAAGCCA
This 1380-nucleotide long non-coding RNA is filed under the name Anser brachyrhynchus (Pink-footed goose). Its description in RNAcentral is "lncRNA (ENSABRG00000013490.1)". The record is from RNAcentral. Lineage: Eukaryota; Metazoa; Chordata; Aves; Anseriformes; Anatidae.